AAAAGAACCCCUGUGAGGGGAGUGAAAUAGAUCCUGAAACCGUAUGCGUACAAGCAGUCGGAGCGGACUUGUUCCGUGACGGCGUACCUUUUGUAUAAUGGGUCAGCGACUUAUGUUCAGUGGCGAGGUUAACCGUUUAGGGGAGCCGUAGGGAAACCGAGUCUGAAUAGGGCGAUUUAGUCGCUGGGCAUAGACCCGAAACCGGGCGAUCUAUCCAUGAGCAGGUUGAAGGUGCCGUAACAGGCACUGGAGGACCGAACCCACUGUCUUUGAAAAGCCAGGGGAUGACUUGUGGAUCGGAGUGAAAGGCUAAUCAAGCCCGGAGAUAGCUGGUUCUCCCCGAAAGCUAUUUAGGUAGCGCCUCGGACG
RNAcentral lists this ribosomal RNA (369 nucleotides) under Pseudopedinella elastica. Its description in RNAcentral is "partial Bacterial large subunit ribosomal RNA". It matches the Rfam family "Bacterial large subunit ribosomal RNA", at positions 517 to 888 of the family's 2925-position model. Lineage: Eukaryota; Dictyochophyceae; Pedinellales. The record is from RNAcentral.